AUUCAUUUGAUAUGUUAACAUUGAUCUGACGGAAAUUGCAUUAUAAUUACAAGAUAUAUUCUUUCUGAUGAAUGUAUUGGGAGGUAGCAAAUAUUAAAGGGACACUGUAGUCACUAUAAGCAUUUCAUCUCUUUGAAUUGGUUAUAGUGCCUGGAGUGCCCUGGCGUUGUCCCUCCAUUCAGUGUUGAACCAUGUUCGUGCAGUAUGCCACAAAAUAAGAGUCCCUGGCCACCCACAGUCCGGCCCCUUCAGUAUGUGUAGCUAAGGCAGAGGUUGCACACUUCCUUGUUUUCGUACCCAUUCAUACUGUCAGCUGACACUCUCAGCCAAUCACAGCUGCCCAUUGCUGCUCAGGCUAAUACUUCCUUAUUAGCCAAAGCAGCACAGAGGGGAUGGAUUGCCGGGGACUCUUAUUUAGCAUUAAAACAUUAAAACGUUAAAAACGGUUUAAUGCUGGUAGAAAUUAUGGGACCAGAGGACUACAGACACUAUAACCAGUUUAAUGAAAUGAAGCAGAUACAGUGCCUACGGUGUCC
Pelobates cultripes (western spadefoot toad) is the source of this 536-nucleotide non-coding RNA. NCBI's taxonomy places the organism in Eukaryota, Metazoa, Chordata, Amphibia, Anura, Pelobatidae. The record is from the annotation of a GenBank genome assembly.